Molecule: long non-coding RNA, 9992 nt
Filed under: Musa acuminata (dwarf banana)
Lineage: Eukaryota; Viridiplantae; Streptophyta; Magnoliopsida; Zingiberales; Musaceae
Description: long non-coding RNA (MACU_LNC000327)
Source: RNAcentral
CUUCGAGGCCAGAAUAAAACUUGAUGCGAGGCUCCUCUCUUCUUCAGAUGCUUCAAAAUAAAUUGGCUUCUUGCGGGUCAUCAGCUCCAGAAGCACUACGCCGAAGCUAUAAACAUCACUUUUCUCUGUCAACUGGCAGGUUUGGAGGUACUCUGGGUCCAAGUAACCACAAGUCCCUUGCACCAAGGUAGCAAACUGAUCCUCAUCUUUUGGAACCAGCUUCGAAGCUCCAAAGUCAGAAACUUUUGCUGUAUAGUUUUCAUCUAAAAGGAUGUUGGAAGACUUCACGUCACCAUGAAUGAUGGGAGGCGAAGCUGAUGAAUGCAAGUAGGCCAGAGCUUCGGCAGACUCAUGAGCGAUCCUCAAGCGAGUGGCCAAGGAAAAGGGAGAUGCACUGUUGUUGUCGUGAAUCAGCUGGAACAAGGUCCCGUUCGAGACAAACUCAUAAACCAGCAUCGGAACCUCCACUUCCAAGCAACAACCCAAGAGCUUAACUAUGUUCUUGUGGUUGAUCUGCGACAGAAUAAGCAGCUCUUUUCCAAAUUCAUUCUUUUGGCUCUCAUCAAUGAUCUUGGGUUUCUUGAUGGCAACGACACGACUGUCCUCCAAUACUCCUUUGUAAACGGUACCAUGUCCUCCUCUGCCAAGGACUCGGUUCUGAUCAUACUUCUCUGUAGCUUUUUCUAAUUCUUCUUUGGCAAAUAUCUUAAAUGCAAGGCCUUGUUCUCUAAAGUAUCUUUCUUUAGCCUUGAUCUCUUCCAAUAAUAUCCAACCUCCAUGUUCUCUAAAAUAUCUUUCCUUAAUCUUGAUGAAUUUUCUUCUUUGAAAAAUCACAUAGAUACACAUGCCGGAUAUUAGUAGAAAGAUCAAGCCACUGCCAAUACCUGUAUCUCAGAAAUUUUCAGGCCAAUUAAAACCAGGAAGAGAAACAAAAAUUCUGUUUUUUAUGCAUAUUAUUUUGGUUUUGUGGUUACUGGAAGCUAUAAUACGAACACGAACAAUUUUGUGCUCUGCUUUUUUUAUGAUAAAAUCCUGGAUGCUUAUUAUUAUUGCUUUUCUUCUGCGUAAGCGUUAUGCUAAGCUACAUAACUAGAAUACCUAAAGUUCACGCAGUAUGAGAAGAAUGUUUAUGGUCAACUUUAUGUUAUUUCAAUCAGCAGGGUUGAUAGUAUGAGAAGAAAUUAUAUCAAAUGUUUCAUUUUCAUAAGUAUAUGGAUCCAAUAUAACUUUUGAAAGUAGAAGGACCGAGAUGUUAAAGAUAACUAAUUUCGAAAAUAAUUUGUAAUUAGCCCAAGAGAAAAAAAGCAUAACCAUCAAGAAUUUCUUUCUUUCUCGGUCACGAUGAUGCCAAAGGUCUAAACUCAUCGCUGAAGUUGAAAAAAAAACAUGAUUUUGUUAAUCACAAAAGUACUUCGAGGGUCAGCAACCGAAGUCGGUUCCAUCCAGGCUAAUAAAAGCAAUACCAACAAUUCUGAAUUUAACAUAUUAUUGAUCUUUUGCAUGUAAAUACACUUUCUUGUGUAUGUGGAUAAAAAAAAAUCAUCAACUACUUGGAGAUGGUACAAGACAACAGAAUAUAAAAUCAAACCAGGCUAUUGUCAUUAGUCCCCUCUCUAUAAGAUACACCUAGUCUAUAGUGCAGACAGAUUAAAAGGAUUUGAAGCAAUAAAUAAAAUUCAUGAAAAGAAAGGACAUUUCUAAUACUUGGCAUCAAAAGUCAUGGUGGAAAAAAGACUCUUACCUAUAGCCACCUUCGCUGAUGAUGGAAGUUUCUGGUGUUGGGUGCAUGUUCCAUUGAAGGCAUCACCAUAUGUACCUCGCGGGCAGAAACAAUUGUAGCUACCAGGCAGGUUCUGACAGAUGCCAUGGCAAGGAUUUUGAUCUUUAUCAGAGCAUUCGUCGAUGUCUGCAAUUAAAGCAUAUUCAGCAGUAUCAGAAACAAAAUCAUGAAAACUAAAACGACAAGCAGAUCCAAGAAUGAGGAGACUUAACAGACCUUGGCAGCCAUGAGCGACAUAAGGAUUGCCAUGGUAGCCACUCGAACAAUUACAAAGAUACCCAGGACCAUUGGAAGAGUUCAAACACUCGCUGUGCUCGCUGAUGCAGGCGUAGGAGGUUGUGUCGCGCUGUGCUACCUCGCAUGUCUCGUUUCCGAUCGCCCAAUCCACCACCAAAGGCGCCUUGCUGUUGCUGUUGCUCAAGAAUUGGUUCGUUGUGAUGUAAGAUGUUAGGAACUCAAACUGAUUCGCCUCCAACAAUACGGCAUAGCUGCAGUCACUGAAGUUCCAGAUGCUCGAGCUGUUGAAAUUGGAAUCAAACCAGACCUCAUAGUAUGUGAGGUCCUUGGGAAUGGAGGUUUGGCAGCAGCCGAUGCCGGAGCAUGAGCUGUUGACCAAGCUCGCCUCGUUGUGACACACAGACACGCAACCGCUCUGGUAGCUGUCGGCACUUUGGAAAUCUCCGAUGUAGGCGAGGGUCUCGCAGCCGAUUACAGUGAACCUGUUGUGGACGUCGGAGAAUCUGUAUGGUGUGCCUACCAAAUUCAGAGACCAGAAGUUGUAGUCCAAAGAAUUGUUGCUAACGUUGUAACACUGCCACGAUAUUUCAUUGAGCAUGCGUGCCUGGCCUAGUGGCAAUGAGAUAUUGGUGAUCUCGACGUUGGAAAAAAAAAGUUUCUCGAGGCCAUCAUCCGUUGUGUUGCAAUCUAGUGAGAAGCCUUCCAUCGCACAGUUAUGACCGAUGCCAAAAGGGUAGGGGACGUCAACCUCGCCGCAUCUCGUUCGGCAGCCAGGCGGUGCAGCUGCUGCAGAUGCCGCUGCACCCACUAGCGGCAGCAUCAACAGCUGGAACAAGCGAUACCCUAACAGCACACCCAUCUCUCGAUUUGCACAUUAUCAGAGAGGUACUCUCAGAUAAAAGCUUGGACAAAUGAUCUGUUAUGGAAACACCAAAGCCUAAAAUGAAGCUUCCUCUUGGCUGAACGAUGACGUCCAAGAAAGCUGACCUUUUCCCAGUCAAUCAUUUGAAGCAAAAAUUGAUUAUUUGAUUGCAUCACUGUCUAAUUUUUCUGCAAAAAAAAAAAAAAAUUGAUUCAAAACUUGGAUCCACAAGGAUGAACUUUGAUUAUGUCAACAGGCAGCCUUAUGUGACCACACACCCAUCUUUCCCUUUGAUCGGCGCCACAUGCUGCAAAGUUGGGAACGCAAAACAACAUCUGACUUUUAAUAGGAUGUUUCGAUCCUUCAGAACAAUAGAAGUACAAGGAAAGAAAACUCAAUGAACUGCUAUCGACCAUCCUCGUCAAGUGGAUUUUCAUGGACCUGUUCAAUCUUUAAUGGUACAAGAAGAACUAGCGGUUGGUGGAUCCGCGGAUGACACCGGCUGAGAUGGAGAUGGUGUAAGCGACUUAUCACACCAAUUCAUGAUUGUUUAAUGUUAGCUUCUUUCUCAAUUAAUUCUUCUUUGUGAAAGCAGAACACAAAAAAAGAAGAAGAAGACAUGAAUAAGAAAUGACGUUCUCUGUCUGCUCAGAGAGACGUCGCAAUUGGUGGUGUUGACUAGUCUACCUAAACUAGCGAUUAAAACGUGAUGGUUGACAUGGCUCACCUUGGCACCCUCGUCGUCUUCCUGUCUGCGAUAGGGCGGCGUACAAUCUUGUAGGCGCCUCUCCAUAAGCCCAUCCACGACUCCGGGGAAGAACCGGCGACGUCGCCCAAAAUGGGUCGACCAUAGCUGCGUGGAGGGAGCCGGCGGAGGCGGCUAAAGAUUCCUCCGCUACCUGCUGCCUUCGUUGCUCGUGAAAAGCGGCGGUUAUCGUGAUCGGCGGAGAGAACGCCCCCAUGUCUGCGCUCUCUUGGGAGGAAGGAGUUCUCUCAGAUCCCCAAAGGAACGGACACGUACGAGCACCACAACACAACAAUUGAGGGGGGCGAUCUCGUCAUUGCACGACAAACAGCAUUUACUUACUUUAUAUACUGAUGACCAUCUCUUUUCUGUAAUGUGAUUAUUUCGGAGGAUUGAGAGUAGCCUUAUGCGCACAAACGACUUAUGACAGAUUAAUUAUAUAUUACCUCGUAUACAUACUUACAUUAUAUUAAUAUAAUAAUAUUAUAUUUAAAAAAUUAUAUUAAUUAUUUUUAUAAUUUUAAAAAUAAAAUAAAUAAUCUUAUUUAUCCUAACGUUAUCAAUUAUAUUGAUAAAAAAUAUAACAUGUGACACACGUAUCGAAUCGAUACAAAAAUGAUGGAUAAAAAUAUAUUAUAUUUUUUAUUAAUAUCUGAUGACAUAAAUAAAGUUAUUUAUUUUAUUUUUAAAAUUAUAAAAAAAAAUAAUAUAAUUUUUUAAAAUAUAAAGAUCAUGAUAUUAAUAAGGUAGGUAAUAUAUAAUUAGCCCACUUAUUACGGGAGAAUAUAGGUCGAGGAAAAGACUGUGGUCCGAUCUGCAAAUUGAAUUUGUACAGAUCUCAGAUUCCUAUAGUUACUGAUACAUAUUCUUUCUACAUAGCUCAGAACAUAAUCCAGUAGGAAAUGGCAAACAGACAUUUACAACCAUAUAUUGCCGAUCAAUUUAAGAUUGCUUCAAGAAACUAUAAAAACAAGGGAGUUGAUGUGUUUGGGAAUAAAUUUAACGCCAAUCUUUUCGCUGAAUUAUAGCAAGUAAUGGUAUCAAUUCCACGCUCACCUGAUGGUUCACCGAGCAAGCUCUCUAUCUCCUCAGCAUUUCGUGGCACCCACGGGUGCUGCUUUAAUUCUUUUAACCUGUCAAGCUCUUCCGCCACUUCCUUCAUCGUAGGCCUUUCUUCUCCCCUAUAGUUCAGGCGUUGCCCUGUGAGCCCCCUAAUUCUUUGAAUCAGUUCUAUAUCCUCUUCAUUUCUCACUUGAUCAUCCAAGAUCGCAAGUACCUGUCUCUCAUAAAUUCAGGCCAAUUAACAUCAUGAAAAGAAAUAAAAACUAUGAUUUUUAUGCACAUUGUAACAAUAAGACAAGCAUGGACAUAUUUAUGCUCUGCAUUUCUGCUGCUAUUAUCCUUGAUGCUUUUUUUUUUGUUCUUUUUCUUUUGCAGUUUCUCCAUUGAAUGCCGUGAAAGGAUUAUUUUUAAUUACAUAACUAGAAUAAAUGCAGUCAAUACGAGAACUGUGGAUAACUCAUCAUAUUAAAUAUGAUAUUAAAGAAUACUAUUUCCCUCUACUUUUAGUAGGUAUAAAUACACAAGUUGGACUUCCCCGAGGGAGAAGAAGCAAAGCCGUCUUGCUUUCUCGUUCACAGUGAUGCCAAAGGUCUGAACUCAUGACUGAAGUUGGAAAAAAUACGAGGAUAAAGGACCUUCAAGAAGACUUUGUUAAUCACAAAAGUUCUUCAAGGUUCUACAACCGAAGUCGGUUCUACCUAGGCCGAUAAAAGCAAUACCGGCAAUUCGGAAUUUAACAUAUUAUUGAUCUUUCACAAGUAAAUACACUUUCUUGAGUGGAUCAAAAAAUCAUCAGCUACUUAGAGAUGAUCCAAGACAACAAGAAGAUAAGAUUGAACCAGGCAUUAGUCCUCCCUAUAAUAUACACCUAGUCUAUAGUGCAGACAGGUGAAAGGAUUUGAAGCAAUAAAUAAAAUUCAUGAAAAGAAAGGGAACAAAAGAAUUUAUUUGUAAUACUUGGCAUCAAAUGUGUUUGGAGAUCCUCGACAAAGACGAAAGUCAUGGUGGAAAAAAGACUCUUACCUAUAGCCACCUUCGCUGAUGAUUGAAGGUUCUGCUGUUGAGUGCAUGGUCCAUUGAAACAAUCACCAUAUGUUCCUCACAGGCAGAAACAAUUGUAGCUACCGGGCAGGUUCUGGCAGAUGCCAUUGCAUGGAUAUUGAUAUUUAUCAGAGCAUUCAUCGAUGUCUGCAAUUAAACCAUAUUCGGCGGUAUCAGAAACAAAAUCAUGAAAACUGAAAAGGAAAGCAGAUCCCAGAAAGAGAAGAGACUGGUACAGGUAACAGACCUUGGCAGCCAUGAGCGACAUAAGGAUUGCCAUGGUAGCCACUCGAACAGUUACACCGAUACCCAGGACCAUUGGAAGAAUUCAAACACUCGCGGUGCUCACUGAUGCAGGUGUAGGAGGUUCUGUUGCGCUUUGCUAUCUCGUUUCCGAUCGCCCAAUCCACCACCAAAGGCGCCUUGCUAAUGCUGUCGUUCAAGAAUCGGUCCGUUGUGAUGUAAAUGUUAGGAAUUCAAACCGAUUGGCCUCCAACAAUACGGCAUAGCUGCAGCAACUGAAGUUCCAGAUGCUCGAGCUGCUGAAAUUUGAAUCAAACCAGACCUCAUAGUAUGCGAGGUCCUUGGGGAUGGAGGUUUGGCAGCAGCCGAUGCCGGAGCAUGAGCUGUUGACCAAACUCACCUCGUUGUGACACACGGACACACAACCGCUCUGGCCCUUUGGAGAUAUCCGAUCCAGACGAGGGUCUCGCAGCCGAUUACAGUGAACUUGUUGUGGACAUCGGAGAAUCUAUUUGGUGUGUCAACCAAAUUCAGAGAGCAGAAAUUGUAGUCCAUAGAAUUGCUACUUACGUUGCAACACUGCGACUAUAUUUCAUUGAGCAUGUGUGUCUGGCCUAGUGGCAAUGAGAUAUCGGUGAUCUCGACGUUGAACACAAAAAGUUUCUCGAGGCCAUCAUCCGUUGCGCUGCAAUUUAGUGAGAAGCCUUCCCUCAAACAGUUAAGACAUAUACCAAAAGGGUAGGGGACGUCAAUCUCGCCGCAUCACGUUGGGCAGCCAGGCAGGGGACCUGCUGCAGAUGCCACUGUACCCACUAGCGGUAGCAUCAACAGCUGGAACAAGUUAUUUUCGCAAUUGCUUAUUUAACAGCAACCUGACAAUUGAAGCAAUUCUUCCAUCCAACAAUGUACUAACACUUUCAAGUUGUCAGUUAAUGAUUUUGCCUCCUGGUCUCCUAAAUCCUCUUCACAAAUGAAUUCAACUCAGUAUCAGUGUUAUCCCAUGUAGACCCUAACACUUCCAUAACCAAAUUCCUGACAUUAGCUUAAUGCAUGCAAAUUUGUUUUUCUUAAAUUCUUGUGAAUAGUUCUCAACAAAUCUCUUUGGAGGAAUGCCCUUAUGCUACAUCAGUGCCUGUGCCUAAUUGACACUCACAAAGUUGCUGCAAGUUUUGGUACGUUAGGAACAAACCAUCUUACUCAUGCAGAUAAACAACUCCUUUGUUUACCUGAGUUCAUGGAAUGAUUGAGAAUUAUUUCACGUACCUUCGAAGAAGAGCAAGCUUGGAUCCUCUCCUGGACAUACUUCGGAAGACAAUUCGCCGAGCCUGGUGCUGUCGUCAAGACCCACGUCUGAAACUUCUGCGCAGAAACACCCUUAUCGACCGCCAAAACAUCGGAUCUCCAAAUGUGCUCAUCUUCCUCCGCGAUCACACCGCACGAAACCAAAGCUGACACUAGCAAAUGGCUCAUGUCAGGGAGCACCAAAGGAUCCUCUGCGUUUCUGGACAUCUUCGCGAUCCUCGAAGAAUGCCCCAUGACCCAGCAGAUCCAGAAAAGCAUGAGCACCUCUCCCGGCAAGAGAGACCCGCCCACCUUAUCAUCGUCGCCAGCAUCGGGAUCGAACUCCAAGCCGCAAGGCGCUCCGGCUUCCCGGGACAGGGCGGCGUACAAUCUGUAUAGCUCGUUGAUGGAUCGUGAGACGGGCAUCCUGCCGUAGCAUCGCUUGUAGCCGCUCAAGAAGCCAAUCCAAUCAAUACGACCGUCAGCACGAUCAUCGGCAACGGGGAAGAAGAGCGAGACCAGGGUUGCGCCGAGAUUGUUCGACAGGGCAGGGAAGUGCUACGGCACCGGCGAGGAUUCGGACACAACAACUUGCACGUCCAGGGAAGAGGGGAGAAUCGAGGGUCAGUUGUCACAUGGGUUGUGGAUCGGUAGGCAGCAGCAGUACCUGGAGGGAAGCGAGGGGGACGGAAGAGGAGGAGGGCGGAGAGAGGUUGGAGAAGGCAUUGCGAAGGGAGGGGAGGAAGCCAUUGGCGGCGGCUAAGUUUUCCUCCUCUUCCUGCCGUUGCUGUUGCUCCGAGAUGCCUCCGUGGUCGGCGGAAGAGGACGCGCCCAUCUCCUGUUUGUUCGUUAGCCUGUCUGUCUGUCUGUCGUGUUCUCGCUUUAUCGGUGGAGAGGAGGAGACCAGCAGACCUCACGGGGCGUUGUUGGACUCUUGAAGCUCCCAAGGGACGGGCGGGCACAAACGAUCGCGAGGAUGGAUGUCGUCCUUGCGACGCUUCUGCGAUGCCGCUACACGCGUCAUGAAGCGGGGUUCGACCGCGGCGACGAACCCACGAUUGCAACAAGCAACGCUACCCGGGAAUUAAACCGGCUCCAUCGUGAGGUUCAAUAAACCUUCGAUGGAGUCGGACCGGCUCAAUCUCUCCCACAUCUCCCUUAAUUUACAUCUAAAAUUUGAGAUGGUAAUUAUUUUACUUAUUAUGAAAAGUAUAAAAAAUAAUAAUAGGUUAAUCAACCCAAAAAUAAAUAAUAUGUAUCAUAAAGAUAUUAUUAUUUAGUCGGCACGUGGAUGUCUAAAAAUUAUUGUAGACUUUUGUUAUUAUAAUAAAAAUUAUUUUUAAAUCAAGAAUGAUUUGUAAAAAAAAUUUAAAUCGGAUGAUAUGGGAUUCAUAUUUUAGGAUUUUUUUAAUUUUAUGUAUUCAUCAUGUCCCGUCUUAUAAAAUUUAAUCAUCAAAGGGAUCAAAGUCAAAAAAUAUUUCUAAUAUUAAUCACAGGAAGGAGGCUAUGGAAAUAAAUUUUAGAAAUUUUACAUCUUAGAAAUUUUACAUGGAUGAUCGAAAGCUAACAACUAUAAUAAAAAAAAAAAAAUUUAUGCUGAUGGACUUUUAUAAACUUAUGAAAGCUUAUCUAAGAGCCGAUCACAAAAUAAUACAUAUUUUCAUAUUAAACGGGUGGCAAUUAAUGUAUAAUUGUUCAUGCUAAUGCUUAAAUAGAUCAGAUGGACAUAGAUAAAGAACAUGGACUGUUUAUACCAUUUUAAUCUCAAUUAUUAAAUUAGAUAAUGAUAUCUCAGACAUGGCGACAACAAGGUCACAUUAUUAGACUAGAUAAUGAUAUCUCAGACAUGGCGACAACAAGGUCAGCCGAUCAUGGAACAUUUCCUGAAUGAUAAAAGCUCCACAAUCAAUGCAAAAUGUUUGAAAUGAUAAUAUUUAUUGGGAUAACCUUAUUCUUACACACAACAUAUUCCAGCAAGGAAAUGACAGAGAUUUCCUGUAGUUAUUAAUAAAUAUUCUUCGCCAUUAUACACUGGCACAAACACACACGAUCACAAGUAUACAUAGCAGCAGUAUCAAUUCAAGAUUGCAUCAAGAAGCCUCGAGAACCAGAGAGUUUGAGCAUGCACCAGAUCAUCAUCUUCCAUAUUCGAUGUCCAAUCCCAAUCUUUUCUCUGGAUUAUAGCUAGUAGUGGUUUCAAUUCCAUGAUAAUAUGUCUCAUGGUCAACUGAUGGUUGACUGAGCAAGCUCUCAAUCUCCUCGGUAUUCUGCGGUACCCACGGGUGCUGCUUGAAUUUUCUCAACCUGUCGAGCUCUUCCGCCACUUGCUUCAUCGUAGGCCUUUCUUCUCCCAUGAACUUCAAGCAUUGCUUUACGAGCUCGCUCAUUUCUUGAAUCAGUUCCGUAUCCCCUUCGUUUCUCACCUGAUCAUCCAAGAUCUCCAUAAGUCGGUUCUCCUUCGUCGCGAGAAUAAAACAUGAUGCGAGGCUCCUCUCAUCUUCAGAUGCUUCAAAAUAAAUUGGCUUCUUGCGGGUCAUCAGCUCCAGAAGCACCACGCCGAAGCUAUAAACAUCACUUUUCUCUGUCAACUGGCAGGUUUGGAGGUACUCUGGGUCCAAGUAACCACAAGUCCCUUGCACCAAGGUAGCAAACUGAUCCUCAUCUUUUGGAACCAGCUUCGAAGCUCCAAAGUCAGAAACUUUUGCUGUAUAGUUUUCAUCUAAAAGGAUGUUGGAAGACUU